UGCUGUUUUGCUUUCAAUAUACAUGUUGUGAACCUGUUAACAAUGAUAACAGUUUGGGUCUUAAUUUGUUAAGCUUAUGCAGGUUUAAGCAGUAGCAGUUUUUGUGAGAAGCAUACUAAGAGGACUGUAGAUUUGUGAGGAACUAAAGCAGGACUGGAACUAAAGAGCAAAGCAGAGGCAAUUCAUUAGGUGACAGUUUCUUUGUACAUUGUGACAGGUAAUGACAGGAGAUUUCGUACAGUUUUAAGCAGAUUGAGCAACUUAAAAUCUGUUUGUUGAGUUGUUUGGUGACAGUUUCUUCACAGAAGGAGGUACAUCAAAGUACAUCAAAGUUUCAUCAUACACAGCUCAGGUGGGACAAAGUGYACUUGUACAGAAGACUCCGAUAGUCUAAACUGCAGUUAGAGGGAAGCUAAAAGUUGAAGAUAAGCAUACUCUGAAGAGAGUUCAUAUCAGUAAAGAUACAUUGUAGCUAUAUUUUAGACUGGUGCUGAUAAUUGUACAUUGUAUUGUA
This is a long non-coding RNA of Cynara cardunculus var. scolymus (artichoke), 514 nucleotides long. RefSeq lists it as uncharacterized. NCBI's taxonomy places the organism in Eukaryota, Viridiplantae, Streptophyta, Magnoliopsida, Asterales, Asteraceae. The transcript is spliced from 2 exons. The record is from RefSeq and is a predicted model, not a curated record.